Small nuclear RNA from Megalops cyprinoides (Indo-Pacific tarpon), 158 nucleotides. RefSeq annotates it as U1 spliceosomal RNA. The record is from RefSeq and is a predicted model, not a curated record. Lineage: Eukaryota; Metazoa; Chordata; Actinopteri; Elopiformes; Megalopidae. The transcript has a single exon.
ACUCUUUUCGGAGAGUGUGAAGUAGGCUUUCCAUGCAACAGACACCAUUUAAACAGUCAUUGCACUCCGGCUGUGCUGACCCCUGCGAAUUCCCCAAAUGUGGGAAUCUCGACUGCAUGAUGUCUGCUAGUGCGCCACUGCGUUCGCGCUCUCCCCUG